Dromiciops gliroides (monito del monte) is the source of this 819-nucleotide long non-coding RNA. RefSeq lists it as uncharacterized. The record is from RefSeq and is a predicted model, not a curated record. The transcript is spliced from 3 exons. NCBI's taxonomy places the organism in Eukaryota, Metazoa, Chordata, Mammalia, Microbiotheria, Microbiotheriidae.
CCAGGGAUCCGGAAAACAGGGGCAUCAUCGAAAAAGGCAGAGAAUCGAGCAGUAUCCAAUGUGGCAGAAGCCACCAGAACCUUGAGUUCGGGGCGGAAUCGGGCAACAUCCUUGAUCAAUCCAAACAAAGGCUUUGGCCACCUAAUAGAAAUCACUUGCCAAAGGACCAUCAUGGCUUCCUCAAGGGUUUUAAUCCAGUUUCUGUGAAUCUGCAGAGGAAACUGGCCACAAAUCAAAAGGAUCCAGAAGUAGCAGGCCCCACUCUGUUCCUGAAGGAGAAAAAGAGCUUCAUCAGGAUGGGCUAGCAAAGUUGGGCUGACCCUAUCCUAGGUUAAAUGACAACAAAGGCUACUGUCAAAGUAAAAAACUGCUAACAUCUUCCUGGCUGCUGACACCUCAGAAAUCAAGAGCAUUCUGCAAUGGGAAGGCUUUGAUACCAAAUUUAAAGACUUAUUAGUUUCUACUCUUGAUCAGUGGCACAGACUGUCUCUUUGCUUCCAAUUCUACUUUCUUGGUUUAGAAGGUAAACAAUCUGGCCCACCUCUCCUCAUCCCAGCCUCAUCUCUUCUUUUGUAAUCCCUCAUGGAUCUGAAUUGGCACAUUUAUCCAGCUGGUCCUGAAAACAACUAGCAGGAGUCCAAAGGUCUUGCUGAUUCUGUGUAAAUUUCUCAGAAACUGAAGGCUGUGGGACACUUUCAAAACAUCUAACUUAAUAAUCCUCCUAUCUUUAAAAAGGAUGACAUUUUGGGGAAGGGAGGGAGAGGACUUCUGUAGUAUCACUUACACUGUCUUUUCUCUGCAAUAUCUUUAGACAUGCAA